GAUGAAGAACGCAGCGAAAUGCGAUACUUGGUGUGAAUUGCAGAAUCCCGUGAACCAUCGAGUCUUUGAACGCAAGUUGCGCCUCAAGCCAUUAGGUUGAGGGCACGUCUGCCUGGGCGUCACAUAUCGUUGCCUGAUGCCAGUUUCCUCGUGAUGGGUGACUGUGCAGGGCGAAUGAUGGCUUCCCGUGAGCAUUGUUGCCUCAUGGUUGGUUGAAAAUUGAGUCCUUGGUAGGGAGCGCCGUGAUAGAUGGUGGUUGAGUGACGAACGAGACCCAAUCAUGUGAGACCCCUACCGAAUUUGGCCUUCAUGACCCACAUGCGUCUUUGGAACGCUCAUGACGAGACCUCAGGUCAGGCGGGGCUACCCGCUGAGUUUAAGCAUAUCAUAAGCGAGGA
RNAcentral lists this unclassified non-coding RNA (398 nucleotides) under soil metagenome. Its description in RNAcentral is "partial contains 5.8S ribosomal RNA, internal transcribed spacer 2, and large subunit ribosomal RNA". The stretch from base 1 to 122 matches the Rfam family "5.8S ribosomal RNA", at positions 35 to 154 of the family's 154-position model. The record is from RNAcentral.